This 468-nucleotide ribosomal RNA is filed under the name uncultured bacterium. Its description in RNAcentral is "partial 16S ribosomal RNA". It matches the Rfam family "Bacterial small subunit ribosomal RNA", at positions 28 to 507 of the family's 1533-position model. The record is from RNAcentral.
GACGAACGCUGGCGGCGUGCUUAACACAUGCAAGUCGAACGGAAAGGCCCUGCUUUUGUGGGGUGCUCGAGUGGCGAACGGGUGAGUAACACGUGAGUAACCUGCCCUUGACGUUGGGAUAACUUCAGGAAACUGGGGCUAAUACCGGAUAGGAGCUCCUGCUGCAUGGUGGGGGUUGGAAAGUUUCGGCGGUUGGGGAUGGACUCGCGGCUUAUCAGCUUGUUGGUGGGGUAGUGGCUUACCAAGGCUUUGACGGGUAGCCGGCCUGAGAGGGUGACCGGCCACAUUGGGACUGAGAUACGGCCCAGACUCCUACGGGAGGCGGCAGUGGGGAAUAUUGCACAAUGGGCGGAAGCCUGAUGCAGCAACGCCGCGUGCGGGAUGACGGCCUUCGGGUUGUAAACCGCUUUCGCCUGUGACGAAGCGUGAGUGACGGUAAUGGGUAAAGAAGCACCGGCUAACUACGUG